This 468-nucleotide ribosomal RNA is filed under the name uncultured bacterium. RNAcentral describes it as "partial 16S ribosomal RNA". It matches the Rfam family "Bacterial small subunit ribosomal RNA", at positions 28 to 507 of the family's 1533-position model. The record is from RNAcentral.
GACGAACGCUGGCGGCGUGCUUAACACAUGCAAGUCGAACGGAAAGGCCCUGCUUUUGUGGGGUGCUCGAGUGGCGAACGGGUGAGUAACACGUGAGUAACCUGCCCUUGACUUUGGGAUAACUUCAGGAAACUGGGGCUAAUACCGUAUAGGAGCUCCUGCUGCAUGGUGGGGGUUGGAAAUUUUCGGCGGUUGGGGAUGGACUCGCGGCUUAUCAGCUUGUUGGUGGGGUAGUGGCUUACCAAGGCUUUGACGGGUAGCCGGCCUGAGAGGGUGACCGGCCACAUUGGGACUGAGAUACGGCCCAGACUCCUACGGGAGGCAGCAGUGGGGAAUAUUGCACAAUGGGCGGAAGCCUGAUGCAGAAACGCCGCGUGCGGGAUGACGGCCUUCGGGUUGUAAACCGCUUUCGCCUGUGACGAAGCGUGAGUGACGGUAAUGGGUAAAGAAGCACCGGCUAACUACGUG